RNAcentral lists this ribosomal RNA (497 nucleotides) under uncultured bacterium. RNAcentral describes it as "partial 16S ribosomal RNA". It matches the Rfam family "Bacterial small subunit ribosomal RNA", at positions 28 to 507 of the family's 1533-position model. The record is from RNAcentral.
GAUGAACGCUGGCGGCGUGCCUAAUACAUGCAAGUCGAGCGAACAGAUAAGGAGCUUGCUCCUUUGACGUUAGCGGCGGACGGGUGAGUAACACGUGGGUAACCUACCUAUAAGACUGGAAUAACUCCGGGAAACCGGGGCUAAUGCCGGAUAACAUUUAGAACCGCAUGGUUCUAAAGUGAAAGAUGGUUUUGCUAUAACUUAUAGAUGGACCCGCGCCGUAUUAGCUAGCUGGUAAGGUAACGGCUUACCACGGCAACGAUACGUAACCGACCUGCGAGGGGGAUCGGCCACCCUGGAACUGGGCCACGGUCCAUGCUCCUACGGUAGGCAGCAGUAGGGAAUCUUCCGCAAUGGGCGAAAGCCUGACGGAGCAACGCCGCGUGAGUGAUGAAGGUCUUCGGAUCGUAAAACUCUGUUAUUAGGGAAGAACAAAUUUGUAAGGAACUGUGCACGUCUUGACGGUACCUAAUCAGAAAGCCACGGCUAACUACGUG